CCUACGGGUGGCAGCAGUGAGGAAUAUUGGUCAAUGGACGAGAGUCUGAACCAGCCAAGUAGCGUGAAGGAUGACUGCCCUAUGGGUUGUAAACUUCUUUUAUAUGGGAAUAAAAUGUUCCACGUGUGGGAUUUUGUAUGUACCAUAUGAAUAAGGAUCGGCUAACUCCGUGCCAGCAGCCGCGGUAAUACUGAGGCUCCGAGCGUUAUCCGGAUUUAUUGGGUUUAAAGGGAGCGUAGGUGGAUUGGUAAGUCCGGUGUGAAAGUUUGCGGCUCAACCGGAAAAUUGCAGUUGAAACUGGCAGUCUUGAGUACAGUAGAGGUGGGCGGAAUUCGUGGUGUAGCGGUGAAAUGCUUAGAUAGCACGAAGAACUCCGAUUGCGAAGGCAGUUCACUGGACUGCAACUGACACUGAGGCUCGAAAGUGUGGGGAUCAAACAGGAUUAGAUACCCUAGUAGUC
Molecule: ribosomal RNA, 460 nt
Filed under: uncultured bacterium
Lineage: Bacteria
Description: partial 16S ribosomal RNA
Rfam family: Bacterial small subunit ribosomal RNA
Source: RNAcentral